AUGUUUGGAUGCCAGAGCUCGUUCGCGACAUCGGUGGCGGCACACUUUAGGGCUGUGGUGCUGCCGGCCAUCGGCACGUGCGGCGGAGCUGCCAUUCUGUGGAACAGAGAUGUAGUCUUCGUAGACACCCAAGCCAUUGGGCAAUUUGCACUCACGACAAAGAUCACACUCGUCUGCAACCCCACUUCAUUCUGGCUCACCACGGUCUACGGACCGGCCGAUGAUACGAGCAAAUAUGAUUUCCUCGCCGAGCUCGCCAGAACUGCACCACCUGCCACCUAGCCCUGGCACAUCAAUGGCGAUUUCGACCUAAUCUACGAGGCGAGAGACAAAAACAACCACAAUCUAAAUAGGAGGCUCAUGGGCCAUUUUAGAAUGGCGAUCGACGGAGCAGGACUUCGCCAUAUCAAGUGUAACAAUCGUAGGUUCACGUGGAGCAGCGAGAGGGAAAAUCCUACCCUAGUUAGCAUUGAUAAGUUCUUCUGCUCCUCGCCCUGGGAAGCCCUGUUCUCGCACGCGCUCCUGAUGGUGGCGUUCACAGCGUGCUCCGAUCACUGCCCGCUAUUGCUUGCGGAUACGUCUGCGCCUCGUCGACGGGGAGGAUUCAAAUUCGAAUCCUUCUAG
RNAcentral lists this ribosomal RNA (624 nucleotides) under Triticum aestivum (bread wheat). RNAcentral's name for it is "partial small subunit ribosomal RNA". The record is from RNAcentral. Lineage: Eukaryota; Viridiplantae; Streptophyta; Magnoliopsida; Poales; Poaceae.